UGAGGAAUCUUGCGCAAUGGGCGAAAGCCUGACGCAGCGACGCCGCGUGGAGGAUGAAGGUCUUCGGAUCGUAAACUCCUGUCGAGCGGGACGAAUCCCGGGAGGGUGAACAAUCCUUCCGGUUGACGGUACCGCUGGAGGAAGCCCCGGCUAACUCCGUGCCAGCAGCCGCGGUAAUACGGAGGGGGCCAGCGUUGUUCGGAAUCAUUGGGCGUAAAGGGCGCGUAGGCGGCCGAGCAAGUCGGACGUGAAAUCCCCCGGCUCAACUGGGGAACUGCAUCCGAAACUGCUUGGCUUGAGUCCUGGAGAGGGUAGUGGAAUUCCCAGUGUAGCGGUGAAAUGCGUAGAUACUGGGAGGAACACCGGUGGCGAAGGCGGCUACCUGGACAGGUACUGACGCUGAGGCGCGAAAGCUAGGGGAGCAAACAGGAUUAGAUACCCCUGUAGUCC
Molecule: ribosomal RNA, 450 nt
Filed under: uncultured bacterium
Lineage: Bacteria
Description: bacterial SSU rRNA
Rfam family: Bacterial small subunit ribosomal RNA
Source: RNAcentral